AAAGAGAAGCCAACGAGUAUCACAAGGAUGAACGAACAACAAGUUACGGCCCGGAUCGAGCAAAAAGGAGAUAGAAUAGACGUUUUUUGAAGAGUUCGUGAGAUUUAUCUUAACGCUCGAAUGAAGAAAAGGAUUGAAUAUCUCCGCCUAUGAGGGCAAGGCCGUAUAAAUAUCCAUUUUAUGUAAAGAGAUUUGUUUUCUAGUAAAGUUCACUAAAUGGAAUUGAAUCAGAAUCAACGUCUCUUUAUGCAUUUAUUUCAUGCAUUCGCAUUACAUAAUAUCAUAACAUUAAAGUCCACUAAAAGAGCCUAAUCG
RNAcentral lists this long non-coding RNA (315 nucleotides) under Gossypium barbadense (sea-island cotton). RNAcentral describes it as "long non-coding RNA (GBAR_LNC013501)". Lineage: Eukaryota; Viridiplantae; Streptophyta; Magnoliopsida; Malvales; Malvaceae. The record is from RNAcentral.